RNAcentral lists this ribosomal RNA (1202 nucleotides) under Triticum aestivum (bread wheat). Its description in RNAcentral is "partial small subunit ribosomal RNA". The record is from RNAcentral. Lineage: Eukaryota; Viridiplantae; Streptophyta; Magnoliopsida; Poales; Poaceae.
CCCGAACUCCUGAACCCGCGAAGAAAAAAAGAAAGAGAAAAAGGCAAUGCCCACGCCCACUCGUCCACGAUCUCCUUCCCGAUCCCCAACCUCCCGCUGCCACAACCGCCGCCUCCCGCCGCCAGCCCCUGGCUCCGGCAUGCCUCCUGCUGCCGGUGCCGGCACGCCUCCCACCGCCGGCCACCCUGGCCCCGUCGCCGCCCCCGACCCCGACGCGCCUCCCGCCACCGGCCAUCCCGACCCCGACGCGCCUCCCUCCGUCGGCCACCCCGGCCUAGGAUCCGGCAGCCAUGCUGCCUUCUUCCCCCGGAUCCAGCCGCCAUGACGCCUCGUCCUCCCAGAUCCGCUCGCGGGACCGUUCCCGCCGUCGCCUAGUGCCGCCACACGCCGCCGCCAUAGAAGCUUCAACGCCUCCGUUCGCGCCGCAAUGGCCACUCGAGCCACCAUGGCCCCAGUUCCCAUCAACGCCUUCGGCCAAGCGCCGCCGUACUCGCCGACGCCGGCUCCUUCCUCCUCCGGUGCACUACCUAAGCUCCUCUCCCGAGGCCCCCGUCCCCCGCCCCUCCGGCCUUCUUCCCCGGAGCCGGCGGCCGCCUUCUUCCACAGAGCCAGCGGUGGCUCCGCCUUCCUCAGUCGUGCUUUUCCGUGGAUGUUCCCCACGGUCAUCCACUUCACCGUUGGGAAAUCAAAACACUUCGGCUCCCUCCGCACGAGCAGUCUGUAACCUUGGUCACGAGCAGUCCGUCUCCUAGCAAGCUAGCAAUUUGUUGCCGAUGCCGCUCCUCUUGAUCGUGUAGGCCGAGCUGCUCCUGUGUCGGUUGGCCGUCCUGGGCCCUGCCGCCGGCUCCCCCGAGCUCUGCCGUCCUUCUGCUCCAUCCUCUGCCCAUGAACCGCUGGACCCCGAGCUCGACCAGCCUCAACCGUGUGUGCGAGCAUGCACUGGUGCGCUCAUUUUGUGGUGUGUUCGUGCGUGCGUGCACUGUUUUGGCUGCGUACGUGCGUGGUGUUCUGUUGGAAAGUUCAGCUACUGUAUCUUGGGAAGAGCUAAUUCAUUUUCAGUAAUGAUACUACCUCAAUGCCUUCUUCUCGAAUCAAACAUUUAGCUUGCUAUGCGUUUGGAGAAAAGAAUAAACAAGAUAACGCAAACCGGCACUGGUUGGAUAAGGUGAGAGAAGAUGCUAAUUUUGUGGUGAAGAAUUGUA